RNAcentral lists this ribosomal RNA (253 nucleotides) under uncultured bacterium. RNAcentral describes it as "partial 16S ribosomal RNA". It matches the Rfam family "Bacterial small subunit ribosomal RNA", at positions 524 to 776 of the family's 1533-position model. The record is from RNAcentral.
UACGUAUGGUGCGAACGUUGUUCGGAAUCACUGGGCAUAAAGAGCACGUAGGCGGUUAAGCAAGUCCAUUGUGAAAUCCCCCGGCUUAACCGGGGAACUGCAGUGGAUACUACUUGACUGGAGUACAGGAGGGGAGAGUGGAAUUCCAGGUGGAGCGGUGAAAUGCGUAGAUAUCUGGAGGAACGCCGGUGGCGAAAGCGACUCUCUGGUCUGUAACUGACGCUGAGGUGCGAAAGCUAGGGGAGCAAACGGG